Molecule: ribosomal RNA, 459 nt
Filed under: uncultured bacterium
Lineage: Bacteria
Description: partial 16S ribosomal RNA
Rfam family: Bacterial small subunit ribosomal RNA
Source: RNAcentral
CCUACGGGAGGCAGCAGUGAGGAAUAUUGGUCAAUGGGCGGAAGCCUGAACCAGCCAAGUCGCGUGCGGGAUGAAGGCCCUACGGGUCGUAAACCGCUUUUGCACGGGGAUAACACCCUCCAUUUGUGGAGGUCUGCAGGUACCGUGCGAAUAAGGGUCGGCUAAUUCCGUGCCAGCAGCCGCGGUAAUACGGAGGGCGCGAGCGUUAUCCGGAUUCAUUGGGCUUAAAGGGAGCGUAGGCGGGCGUUCAAGUGAGCGUUAAAAUCGCGCGGCUCAACCGCGCGCCGCAGUUGAAACUGGACGCCUUGAGUUCACAACAGGCAGGCGGAAGUCGUGGUGUAGCGGUGAAAUGCGUAGAUAUCACGAGGAACCCCGGUUGCGAAGGCAGCCUGCCGGAGUGCGACUGACGCUGAGGCUCGAAGGUGCGGGUAUCAAACAGGAUUAGAUACCCCUGUAGUC